UACAUGGGGUGCAAACGUUGCUCGGGAUUAUUGGGCGUAAAGCGCGCGUAGGCGGUUACUUAAGUCGGAUGUGAAAGCCCUCGGCUUAACUGAGGAAGUGCACCCGAAACUGAGUAGCUAGAGUACGAAAGAGGGUCGCGGAAUUCCCGGUGUAGAGGUGAAAUUCGUAGAUAUCGGGAGGAACACCGGUGGCGAAGGCGGCGACCUGGGUCGAGACUGACGCUGAGGCGCGAAAGCGUGGGGAGCAAACAGG
This 253-nucleotide ribosomal RNA is filed under the name uncultured bacterium. RNAcentral's name for it is "partial 16S ribosomal RNA". It matches the Rfam family "Bacterial small subunit ribosomal RNA", at positions 524 to 776 of the family's 1533-position model. The record is from RNAcentral.